This 783-nucleotide long non-coding RNA is filed under the name Helianthus annuus (common sunflower). Its description in RNAcentral is "sRNA HanXRQr2_Chr12g0551981". Lineage: Eukaryota; Viridiplantae; Streptophyta; Magnoliopsida; Asterales; Asteraceae. The record is from RNAcentral.
ACUCAAUUGGACCAUUUUUUUGUACACUAAAUGUAUUGUUGCACUAAUAACUUAUAAUAUGUUUUUUUAGGAAACAUGGGGAUGUUAAUGGUAAAAUAAAAGAAAUUAUAUACAGCUAAAAAUGGCCUAUACUUGCGCCAACUUUCAACAGCCUUAGGCGUUGUCUUUCUUUUAUUUAUUUAUUGCUCUAUCUACCAACAACUUAUAAUUAAAGCCCAACUGACUAAACCCUAACUUCUUUUAUCACUUCAGCUGCAUCCCAAACCAGACCCCCAAACCUUUCUUCUCUCCCGAUUUUCUGGUCACCGGCGCCGCAACUCCGGCCGGCUGCCGACGACGGGUUCUCCUCCUUCUCCUACACCUACAGCCCCUCCCCAAUCUUGUUUAACACAUCUCGACAUCACCACAACCUUUUCGAAUCACGGGCGCGUUGCUUGAACUCGGAGCUCUCGCGGGAAAACCUGCAAGUGGCCGGAAGCUCGCAUCGGAACGGAGCUCGAAGACGUCGGAACUCGUGUUCGCCGUAACCGUCUGAACAAUCCUGUCGUCGCCGGAGAUCGGAAACCCGCGGGUGUUAUCUCGUUUUUGUGUUUGCCUGAUGCUGGCUAUAUCAGCAUGUUCACUGUGAUAACCAUUUCGUCUGUUCUUUUGGAUUUUAUCCAAUCUUACUCGUGCGUUACUUACAAGAAAUCGCAACGCAACCAAUGUUGAUGAGGACGAUGCUAAGAAAAGAAAUAGCGUUGAUGCCUAGAUACACAUAUAGACGUUAGGGUUUAAUAUGUU